RNAcentral lists this ribosomal RNA (500 nucleotides) under uncultured bacterium. RNAcentral's name for it is "bacterial SSU rRNA". It matches the Rfam family "Bacterial small subunit ribosomal RNA", at positions 382 to 873 of the family's 1533-position model. The record is from RNAcentral.
CCUGACGACGCAACGCCGCGUGGAGGAUGAAGGUCUUNGGAUCGUAAACUCCUGUUGCCCGGGACGAAACGCCUCGACCUAACACGUCGAGGCCUGACGGUACCGGGUGAGGAAGCCCCGGCUAACUCUGUGCCAGCAGCCGCGGUAAUACAGAGGGGGCAAGCGUUGUUCGGAAUUACUGGGCGUAAAGGGCGCGUAGGCGGCCUGCUAAGUCGAACGUGAAAUCCCCGGGCUCAACCCGGGAACUGCGUUCGAUACUGGUUGGCUUGAAUCCGGGAGAGGGAUGCGGAAUUCCAGGUGUAGCGGUGAAAUGCGUAGAUAUCUGGAGGAACACCGGUGGCGAAGGCGGCAUCCUGGACCGGCAUUGACGCUGAGGCGCGAAAGCCAGGGGAGCAAACGGGAUUAGAUACCCCGGUAGUCCUGGCCCUAAACGAUGAGUGCUUGGUGUGGCGGGUAUCGAUCCCCUGCCGCGCCGAAGCUAACGCAAUAAGCACUCCGCC